AUUGUUGUGUUCAAUUGACAGUUGGUUUCGCGGUAUAAUAAAAAGUAUCAGACUGAAUUUUGCUAUUGUGUUGACGUUUACACUUUUAGCUGAUUAAUUUAUAUUAAAACAUGAAACGCUGCUGUAUCCAACGUUUCGUUUAGAUUUUAGAAGGGUGUGCCAAGAUGACAUCAAAUUUGUGCACGGAUGAUCUGGUCGUGCAAAUCACUGCACCACAAGUUAUAUCGGAGUCAAUGAGGAAGUAUCACAGCUAAGAUUGAUUAAUCUGCCAAAGUCAGCAUACGAAUUGUACUGUGCAGGCGGAGAUGGCGGGGGGCGCGGG
Long non-coding RNA from Papilio machaon (common yellow swallowtail), 322 nucleotides. RefSeq lists it as uncharacterized. The record is from RefSeq and is a predicted model, not a curated record. NCBI's taxonomy places the organism in Eukaryota, Metazoa, Arthropoda, Insecta, Lepidoptera, Papilionidae. The transcript has 3 exons.